This 506-nucleotide ribosomal RNA is filed under the name uncultured cyanobacterium. Its description in RNAcentral is "bacterial SSU rRNA". It matches the Rfam family "Bacterial small subunit ribosomal RNA", at positions 357 to 878 of the family's 1533-position model. The record is from RNAcentral. Lineage: Bacteria; Bacillati; Cyanobacteriota.
GGGAAUUUUCCGCAAUGGGCGCAAGCCUGACGGAGCAAGACCGCGUGCGGGAGGACAGCUUAUUGGUUGUAAACCGCUUUUGAUAGGGAAGAAGCUCUGACGGUACCUAUCGAAUCAGCAUCGGCUAACUCCGUGCCAGCAGCCGCGGUAAUACGGAGGAUGCAAGCGUUAUCCGGAAUUAUUGGGCGUAAAGCGUCCGUAGGUGGUUGUUCAAGUCUGCUGUUAAAGCGUGCGGCUUAACCGCAUACCAGCAGUGGAAACUGGGCGACUAGAGUGCGGUAGGGGUCAGGGGAAUUCCCAGUGUAGCGGUGAAAUGCGUAGAUAUUGGGAAGAACACCGGUGGCGAAAGCGCCUGACUGGACCUGCACUGACACUGAGGGACGAAAGCUAGGGGAGCGAAAGGGAUUAGAUACCCCUGUAGUCCUAGCCGUAAACGAUGGACACUAGGUGUUGCCCGUAUCGACCCGGGCAGUGCCGUAGCCAACGCGUUAAUGUCCCGCCUGGGA